This 493-nucleotide ribosomal RNA is filed under the name uncultured bacterium. RNAcentral's name for it is "bacterial SSU rRNA". It matches the Rfam family "Bacterial small subunit ribosomal RNA", at positions 17 to 507 of the family's 1533-position model. The record is from RNAcentral.
CCUCGGCUCAGAUUGAACGCUGGCAGCAUGCCUUACACAUGCAAGUCGAACGGCAGCGGGCCUUCGGGUGCCGGCGAGUGGCGAACGGGUGAGUAAUGCAUCGGAACGUGCCAUUGAGUGGGGGAUAACGUAGCGAAAGUUACGCUAAUACCGCAUAUUCUGUGAGCAGGAAAGCAGGGGACCGCAAGGCCUUGCGCUCUUUGAGCGGCCGAUGUCAGAUUAGCUAGUUGGUGAGGUAAAGGCUUACCAAGGCGACGAUCUGUAGCGGGUCUGAGAGGAUGAUCCGCCACACUGGAACUGAGACACGGUCCAGACUCCUACGGGAGGCAGCAGUGGGGAAUUUUGGACAAUGGGCGCAAGCCUGAUCCAGCCAUGCCGCGUGAGUGAAGAAGGCCUUCGGGUUGUAAAGCUCUUUCGGCCGGGAAGAAAUCGCAUGGGUUAAUACCCUGUGUGGAUGACGGUACCGGCAUAAGAAGCACCGGCUAACUACGUG